GCUCCCUUCGUCUAGUGGCCUAGGACGUCGCCCUCUCACGGCGAAAACACGGAUUCGAAUUCCGUAGGGAGCA
This 73-nucleotide transfer RNA is filed under the name Deltaproteobacteria bacterium. RNAcentral describes it as "tRNA-Glu". It matches the Rfam family "tRNA". From Rfam's summary of the family: Transfer RNA (tRNA) molecules are approximately 80 nucleotides in length. Their secondary structure includes four short double-helical elements and three loops (D, anti-codon, and T loops). Lineage: Bacteria; Pseudomonadati; Myxococcota; Myxococcia. The record is from RNAcentral.